AGCAGCCUUGUCAAAUUCAGUACUGUCCUUGUCUAUGGUAGGUACUGGCCUAGCUGGCUGCCACAGCAGCAUCUGUAGUUCAUGGGCCCCAUGUCUCUAUUACUGGACCCUGGGGAUAAAAGAAUGCUACAAACACCC
RNAcentral lists this small nucleolar RNA (138 nucleotides) under Chelydra serpentina (North American snapping turtle). RNAcentral describes it as "Small nucleolar RNA SNORA5 (ENSCSRG00000004037.1)". It matches the Rfam family "Small nucleolar RNA SNORA5". From Rfam's summary of the family: ACA5 is a member of the H/ACA class of snoRNA that guide the sites of modification of uridines to pseudouridines. The record is from Rfam by way of RNAcentral. Lineage: Eukaryota; Metazoa; Chordata; Testudines; Chelydridae.